GUGUUUGUGAGCCGUCAUGCCAUCUUCUUGGAAAAUCAGUUUAUCCUUGAUAGAGGUAGUGGGAGGAAAAUUGAGCUUGAAGAGAAAGUUUCUGAAAGGCAACGAGUCAUGGAUCCUAUUGAACCCAUUCAUACAGAGCCAGUACACGAUGUCCCUCGACCACCUCGUAGAUCUAGUAGGGUCUCCCAUCCUCCCGAUAGAUACUUAGGUAUACUAGAGGAGGAUACCGAGGAAAUGUUCCUAGUGGGAGAUAGGGAUCACAUACAGGA
RNAcentral lists this long non-coding RNA (269 nucleotides) under Phoenix dactylifera (date palm). RNAcentral's name for it is "long non-coding RNA (PDAC_LNC017130)". Lineage: Eukaryota; Viridiplantae; Streptophyta; Magnoliopsida; Arecales; Arecaceae. The record is from RNAcentral.